Molecule: ribosomal RNA, 120 nt
Organism: Exophiala mesophila
Lineage: Eukaryota; Fungi; Ascomycota; Eurotiomycetes; Chaetothyriales; Herpotrichiellaceae
Source: Rfam
GCAAUCGACCAUUGGAUAUAGAAAACAGGACUUCCCGUUCGCUCAGUCGUACUUAAGCUAUAUGCCGGCUUGUUAGUAGUAAAGUGGGUGACCAUUUGCGAAUCCGGGCUGUUGAUUGUU